Molecule: long non-coding RNA, 1181 nt
Organism: Trifolium pratense (red clover)
Lineage: Eukaryota; Viridiplantae; Streptophyta; Magnoliopsida; Fabales; Fabaceae
Exons: 5
Source: RefSeq, a predicted model, not a curated record
AUACUUUUCUUUGUUUUUCCAUCAAACGCUUUCUUUAUCUGUGAAAGAGAUAGUUUCUUGUUACUACAAUUUCAUUAUCAAUUGUCAAUCUUUCUAACCCUAAAUUCAAUUCAUAAUUUGUUUUCUGUUUGCACACUCUUUCGUUCUCCGUCAAUCUUGAUUAUCGCGCUCAAAAACCUCACAACACAAUGCAACACGUUCGUGUAACUCGCUCCGAGUCUCGUUCUCUUCGUUUUCGAUCGUUUUUAUCAUGCCGAUGGCUAAAGCUGAUUCCAAAGCCGCUGAUAACCGGUUGAAGCGUAAGGGAUUCAUGUUUCUGCUGCCUUUGCUUGAAUUGAAAUGGAAAAUAAUUCUAAGAUUCUUGUUUAGGGAUUUAUGUGUCUGCUGCCCUUGCUUGAUUUGAAAUGGAAAAGAAUAUAUGAUGGUGAAGGAGAACCAUCACAGUUGGCUCCUGUUGACAUUUUUGUUAGUACAUUGGACCCUCUCAAAGAGCCGCCUCUUGUAACUGCAAAUACUGUUUUGUCUAUACUUGCUGUUGAUUACCCUAUCGACAAGGUUUCCUGCUAUGUAUCAGAUGAUGGUUCAUCUAUGUUGACUUUUGAAGCCUUAUCUGAAACAGCCGAGUUUUUAAAGUUGUGGGUGCCGAAACAGCCGAGUUUGCAAAGUUGUGGGUGCCCUUUUCAAAAAGCACAAUAUUGAGCCAAGAGCACCUGAAUUUUAUUUUGCAAAGAAGACUGAUUGCUUAAAGGAUAAGAUUCAACCCUCAUUUGUUAAGGAGAGACGGGCAAUGAAGAGAGAAUAUGAAGAAUUCAAAGUAAGGAUCAAUAGUUAUGUGGCCAAAGCUCAGAAAACACCAGAGGAAGGUUGGACAGUGCAGGAUGGAACUCCUUGGCCUGGAAAUAAUUCUAGGGAUCAUCGUGGAAUGAUUCAGGUGUUUAUAGGUCAUAGUGGAGGACUUGAUACCAAUGUUUUGAAAACCGGACCGGACCGGCCGGUCCGACCGGUUCGACCACGAACCGGUGCCCUCGGCGGUCCGGUCGACUAGCAAGAACCGCUAGUCAGUGGAACCGGUCAAAAACCGGUGUGAACCGGUAUGAACCGGUGUGAACCGGUGUGAACCGGUGAGCCGGUGAACCGGAAAACCGGCCGGUUUUUCUCUCACUUAAAAAAAAAAAAAAAAA